UGCCACCUUGUUCAUGGUCUGAUUGAGCUGAAAUUUGGAGGAGAGGUUCAUAAGUCAUUAAUCUUAAAUUUGAACGGUGAAGAUCGGAUUUGAAAGGUUUCAAAGGAAAUUGAUUGGCCAAAAGACAAGAAGUCAUAAUGUUGAAGGAGGUAGUGAUGCCGAAAAUCAUGAAGAUUACAUCAAAGUCAUUUGGAGGAUGAUCUUAUUUUUUAUAGAAUAGAUCUUAAUAGUUGUUGCACUAAUAUUUGUUCUUUUGUAGAAUUAGAAAUUGUUAUUGAAAUAUUUUGAUAUAAUUAAUAAAUUUGUAUGUAAGUAUGAAGUUACAUUAA
Molecule: long non-coding RNA, 329 nt
Organism: Vitis vinifera (wine grape)
Lineage: Eukaryota; Viridiplantae; Streptophyta; Magnoliopsida; Vitales; Vitaceae
Exons: 2
Source: RefSeq, a predicted model, not a curated record